UGUGACCUCAAAUCAGGUAGGACUACCCGCUGAACUUAAGCAUAUCAAUAAGCGGAGGAAAAGAAACUAACAAGGAUUCCCCUAGUAACUGCGAGUGAAGCGGGAAAAGCUCAAAUUUAAAAUCUGGCAGUCUUUGGCUGUCCGAGUUGUAAUCUAGAGAAGCGUUAUCCGCGCUGGACCGUGUACAAGUCUCCUGGAAUGGAGCGUCAUAGAGGGUGAGAAUCCCGUCUUUGACACGGACUACCAGGGCUUUGUGAUGCGCUCUCAAAGAGUCGAGUUGUUUGGGAAUGCAGCUCAAAAUGGGUGGUAAAUUCCAUCUAAAGCUAAAUAUUGGCGAGAGACCGAUAGCGAACAAGUACCGUGAGGGAAAGAUGAAAAGAACUUUGGAAAGAGAGUUAAACAGUACGUGAAAUUGCUGAAAGGGAAACGCUUGAAGUCAGUCGCGUUGUCCAGGGAUCAACCUUGCUUUUGCUUGGUGCAUUUUCUGGUUGACGGGUCAGCAUCAAUUUUGACCAUUGGAAAAAGAUUAAGGGAAUGUGACAUCUUUGGAUGUGUUAUAGCCCUUGGUUGCAUACGAUGGUUGGGAUUGAGGAACUCAGCACGCCGCAAGGCCGGG
RNAcentral lists this ribosomal RNA (616 nucleotides) under Dermocybe malicoria. RNAcentral's name for it is "partial 28S ribosomal RNA". It matches the Rfam family "Eukaryotic large subunit ribosomal RNA", at positions 1 to 615 of the family's 3401-position model. The record is from RNAcentral. Lineage: Eukaryota; Fungi; Basidiomycota; Agaricomycetes; Agaricales; Cortinariaceae.